RNAcentral lists this long non-coding RNA (918 nucleotides) under Homo sapiens (human). RNAcentral describes it as "HSALNT0364461". The record is from RNAcentral. Lineage: Eukaryota; Metazoa; Chordata; Mammalia; Primates; Hominidae.
GGCUUCUCUUUCCUCCCCGUCUCAGGCACUGGGCAUUUCCAGUCGAUCCAGCAGGUCUGGCUUCUCUCACAUAUGCAGUAAGGGUUAGGGGAGAAGGUCCCAGCUCCUCUUGUCUCUAGCAGAGUGUAAACUGGCUCUGCUGAGGAGGUGGCUGUGCUUUUAUUCCUUCUCCUGAGAACUGUUUAUAUAUUAAGGAGCUUCACAGCCUCCAACAUAAGGAAAGCAGGCCUCAAACUUCUUCAUGGGAAAAGAUGGCUUCUCUUUUUUAAUUGAAUGAACUAGAAGAAGUUCAUUGUUAUUCAUCAACUUCAAAGAGACUAUAUGAGGCCCCUUGGCCAGGACUACAGAGCAGUAUUUUUUAAUCAGAAAUUAUAGCCAAAAAGAAGAGACCAGAACACAUGGAAUUGAAAGAAACUACUUUAAAUUUCAUAUGGAACCAAAAAAAGCCCAUAUAGCCAAGAUGAUCCUAAGCAAAAAGAGCAAAGCUGGAGGCAUCAUGCUACCUGGCUUCAAACUAUACUACAAGGCUACAGUAACAAAAACAGCAUGGCACUGGUACUAAAACAGAUAUAUAGACCAAUGGAACAGAACAGAGGCCUCAGAAAUAACGCCACACAUCUACAACCAUCUGAUCUUUGACAAACCUGACAAAAACAAGCAAUGAGGAAAGGAUUCCCUAUUUAAUAAAUGGCGUUGGGAAAACUGGCUAGCCAUAUGCAGAAAACUGAAACUGGACCCCUUCCUGAUACCUUAAACAAAAAUUAAUUCAAGGUAGAUUAAGGACUUAAACAUAAGACCUAAAACCAUAAAAACCCUAGAAGAAAAGCUAGGCAAUACCAUUCAGGACACAGGCAUGGGCAAAGACUUCAUGACUAAAACACCAAAAGCAAUGGCAACAAAAGCCAAAAUAGACAAAUG